This is a long non-coding RNA of Neofelis nebulosa (Clouded leopard), 1513 nucleotides long. RefSeq lists it as uncharacterized. Lineage: Eukaryota; Metazoa; Chordata; Mammalia; Carnivora; Felidae. The transcript is spliced from 5 exons. The record is from RefSeq and is a predicted model, not a curated record.
CAGGUUAUGGCAAUACCAUCCUGAACACGCCGGAUCUCCUCUGAUCUCAGAAGCUAAGCAGGGUGGAGCCUGUCUGCUGACCUUAUUAAGAUUUCACCAACUUUCCAUGCAUUUAUAUGUGUAUGCAUGCUUACGAAGUAUUAGAUGAAGAAUUUGAAAAGUCCCGUCUGUCCUUGAAAUGUAAUCUCUUAUGAAGCAGCCUGGAAAAAUGCUGAAGAGCAAAAGAGUACGUUUUAUUCUGAGUUCUUUUGAGGCUGAAGCUAACAUUUGAACUAUCUCCAAGAUUGUGAUCUCUGCAGAGAUAUUUAUUGCACCUUGAUGAAGAUGAAUGGUGUGACAAUAAAUAAGACGCUUCUCUCUCCUGCCUGGGUCUGCCCUUGAGACACAAUAACGUGUGGCACACAGCACCGUGGGAGCAUCAGGGAUCCACAUCAUGCCCGGAGCUGACAGAGUGCCCUGAGUAAUGGCGGCAACCUUCCAAAACACACUAGUGGGGCCUCCAUCUAUAGCCGUACCAGACAACAAUGACCCCUAACUCCACAAUACAUCUUGUUCAUCAUUCCUUAUAUUACCAAACAGAAUGGGAUUGGAAAUGCCGGUCAAAAGUAAUGAGGCACCUGGGAAACAGAAAGAAAGCUUGUCAUUCACAGCCCUGUCCACUGAAGUGGUUUCAGUACACAGGGUGGGUACCACCUGACUUCUGUCUUCAUUGUCAUCGCGUGUGUGUGUGAGCAUGUGUGUAUUCAUUUGUGAUUGGCUUAUUAUCCCCAAUUUGGCAUGAUCUCUUUAUCCACUCCAAUAGGAAUGUCCAUAUGAGAGUUAAUCAUCAUGGUUGUAUAACUGUCCUUUCUCAAUCUUUUGUCUCACAAAUGAAGAAGAUCGCUUACUUUUAGAUGAUUGCAGCAAAUAUAUUAUCUUCUAUCUCUUCUAUUGGAAUUGACAAGAUUAGUGUAUUGGAGGCAUCUGUUACAAUAUUAAAAUGAUUAGUUUAUGUGUAUACGACCACCAGAAUAUUGUAAGGUCUCUAAGAUUAGGACUCAUGUCUAGGCCUAUAUUGGUAUCCCGUUCCUUAGCUUUGUACCUGGCACAUACUAGGUACUACGUAUAUAUACAUAUAUAUGUAUAUAUGUAUACAUGUAUGUACACGUAUAUAUUUCCCUCCCCCCCCGAAUUGUUUCCUGAUAGGUGAGGCACUUCUGUCUUCUAGAGUGAAGGAGGAGCAUACAGAAUUCUGUAUCAUGGUGGUAUUCACUCCAAAGUAGUUGGGAAUCAAGUUUCAGAUGAGAAGCAAGACACCAGUUCAUAGAACUGGUAGAUUAUAAAUAUAGUAUGAAAACUGUGGAGAGCCAAGGCUAAGAAGAAUGGAGAAGGUCUAAACUGUUGUUGCAAGCAUAGUUAGAGGUAUAGAACCAUUUGGGAAAAGUGUAAAGUGAAAGGGAAGUUUCAAGACUCUAGAGUCAGAGGAUCAGUGAGCUGGAAUUUGAGUCAAUAGGCAAGAUGAAGACAUUACAGU